GUCUACAUUCACUUUUGUAAUUUAGUUUCGGUUAAGGCUACGAAAGAUAAAAUUUGAACUAAUCAAUUUCUGUGGGACGAUAUUCAGACUCAUUUAAUCCACUUUAUUACUUGUUAACGAACCGUACACUUGUGGUAGUUUUAAAUCGAAAGAAAAUAUUUCGUGAACAACCACAAAUCCUUUCUUUUGAUUAGGAGAGGUCCACAUGUCAGUAGUAAUCAAACUUUGACUAUCAAUCUUCUCAAGUGCAAUCAUAUUUUUUUUCUUUUCUCGUAUUCAUAGAUUUUUAAAAUGACGCUUUUCAAAGUAUUGCAAGAAGGAACCUUAGGUUGCAGGUCGUGCAAGAACUCUCAAAAUCCAAUGUGAUCAAUUUCCUCUUUCCGAAAGAUAGUUUUCCAACUAGCGCUCCUCGUCAUUUAGGUUUAUUGGCCUUUCAUCCGCAUUUGGUAACGGUUCAGCGGGAUCUUCUUGUGGGAUAUUGCUCAUUGAUAUAUUGGUCGUCCUAUCUUCCUUGCGUAUUGGUCCUAAUCCAAUACUUCUAGCACUACUUGGGCCAAACAUCUGUACAAAUAACAAAUGACAUUAAAUACAACGAAUUUUAU
Molecule: long non-coding RNA, 602 nt
Filed under: Olea europaea subsp. europaea
Lineage: Eukaryota; Viridiplantae; Streptophyta; Magnoliopsida; Lamiales; Oleaceae
Source: RNAcentral